This 348-nucleotide ribosomal RNA is filed under the name uncultured bacterium. Its description in RNAcentral is "bacterial SSU rRNA". It matches the Rfam family "Bacterial small subunit ribosomal RNA", at positions 335 to 703 of the family's 1533-position model. The record is from RNAcentral.
ACUCCUACGGGAGGCAGCAGUGGGGAAUAUUGCACAAUGGGCGAAAGUCUGAUGCAGCGACGCCGCGUGAGGAAGAAGUAUUUCGGUAUGUAAACUCUAUCAGCAGGGAAGAAAAUGACGGUACCUGACUAAGAAGCCCCGGCUAACUACGUGCCAGCAGCCGCGGUAAUACGUAGGGGGCAAGCGUUAUCCGGAUUUACUGGGUGUAAAGGGAGCGUAGACGGCGAAGCAAGUCUGAAGUGAAAACCCAGGGCUCAACCUGGGAGUGCUUUGGAAACUGUUUUGCUAGAGUGUCGGAGAGGUAAGUGGAAUUCCUAGUGUAGCGGUGAAAUGCGUAGAUAUUAGGAG